This is a long non-coding RNA of Cercocebus atys (sooty mangabey), 2213 nucleotides long. RefSeq lists it as uncharacterized. The record is from RefSeq and is a predicted model, not a curated record. Lineage: Eukaryota; Metazoa; Chordata; Mammalia; Primates; Cercopithecidae. The transcript has 3 exons.
AUGGAGAAGUUAUUUUAAAUAAGAUUUUUGUCCCAUGGAAUUGGCCCCUUUGUUAUUGUAUAUCCUUCAGGUUUAUGGGACAGCACUAGAGGAAAGUGAUAGCCUCAGAGGACCUUCAGAUGGUGUCCUGGGUAGCUGAACUGUGGAAAGCAAAACCGUGGAUAAGGGGGAACUACUAUAUUGAAAAAUGUGCAAAAUAGAGAAGAUUUCAUUGAAGAAGUCUGCUGUUUUUGGAAUGGGAAAUUAAGAUAAAAAUUGAAGCUCUCAUCUUCUAUAACAUCAUGGGUACUUUUGAGGCAUAACUGGAACAGUUAUCUACUGUGAUUCUUGCUGGGACCAAUAACCUUCUACAAAUACCAGCAUCAGCUCCCAUGAAAGGCAAAGAGCUGACAAGUAUAUGGACUGCACCUCCACAUUAAGCUACCAGGAGAAACUUCCAAGUUACCCUCUUGUCACCUAUGCCCCAAAGGUGAACACUGUAAACUGCUACAGCAUGCAAUUUAGGUAAGUAUUCAGGUAACAACAGUGCCAAUGAUGAAAAAGAUAAUGACUUUUCAUUGUCUGCAAUCUUUCAUUUGGGCGAACUUAAAAGGAUUUUUUUAAUAAGGAAAAUAAUCUUUCCUGAAAUGUAGUCAAUUCUAUGAUUAGGAAUUAGAACAUUUUUUUAAGUUGAGAUAGAAUUCACAUACCAUAAAAUUCACCCUUUAAAUGUACAAUUCAGUGGUGUACAUAACAUUAUAAAGUUAGAUCAUUUUAAACAGGUCUGGCACACAGUAGCCAUGUCAUACAUAUUAGGCUCCUUUCAUUACAUCAAUACAUUUUGAGCCUGAAAUAAAUGAAAUGACACAGGAGAUAUCUGGGGUGGUUUUGUUCGGCCACGACCCCCGUGGUAUGCUGAAGCCCUCUCAAGAGAGCCAGUGGUCUGCAUCUCUUUGCAACUCUGUGUUGACUGAUGCCAUGUAACUAGCUUGAAAUGGGCCACGAUGGGAAUAUUUAUGUCAUGGAAACUUACCAAUGCCACAAAAUCAGAGCUUUUUUAUUGUUUGAGAGCUGAUUGUUAAACUUUUACCAUCACAUCACUGCUAGUGUAUAUCAAUUUCUUCAAGAGUACAAUUUAUUAUUAUUCAGGGCCACAUUCGGAGCCUCAUCUCUUUGUCAUGACCAACAAAUUUAAAUCCUCAUCAACUGGAAAGAGGAAACUUCAACUGGAUAAAUACUGUAUUCAUAACUAGUGUGUUAAUUCUAUAUUACUUUUUGGGGAAUGGUUUUAAAGAAAUUUUUAUUGUGGUAAAAAACACGUAACAUGAAAUUUACUGUCUUAACCAUUUUUAAGUAUACAGUUCAAUAGUGUUAAGUGUGACUUAUUAAUUUUUUUGUCAUCCAUAGCAUGGCUUGUACUAUAGAGGAUGGGUUUCAUUAUGAAAUGUCCGAAUGGGUUUUGAAAUUUCAUUUGUAAUGAGGUAGUUAAAUUUUAUUCUGGUCGGGCUCAUGCUCUCACAGUUAGUUUUUGGCCGAUUUACUUCUGGCUAGUCUUUCAGAAUAUCUUAAAACCAACUUUAUAUUAAGAGGACGAGCUUUAGGGAAUUUGGUAGCCAGGCAUCCUGGACCUCCUUCCUAGAACAUUGCAGUUAUGUGAUGCAGCUUGAAUGACCCCUGACAUCUCUCUGAUUCUCAGGUUCAAAUUCCAGAUUCCUAGGAAAGUACUGUGAUUCACCAAGCUUGGGCCCGGAAGACACAGCUGCAUUGUUCUUAUGCUUCCUCCCACAGUGAUGGUUUUGAAGGACGUGCUGGUAGGGGCAGAGUUCAGGACCUGUUACUUCAUAUUAGAGAGACGCUGGGCAGUUAAAGCAUCCAGUGUCUAGUAGGAAUGAUUUUUAUAUCAGAUGAUAAUAAAUGAUGACUUUAAAGAAAAUAUUUCAUCAAAAUAGUUGGGAUUUAAUUAGGGAUAUUUAGAAUAUUGCAGCAUAAUGUAGAUAAAAAUGGCAUAAAAUUUCUGUAACCUUAAAAAGAGAAAUAACAGAGUAAAUUAACAUAAUUCAUUUGGGACUGUAUCUGGUUAAAAUUUUAGUUGUAUAAUGAUACAACUAAAUUGUACAACUUAGUUGUAUAAUCCUUGGACUUAGAGAGGAACUGUUUUGCCUGACAGUUUCUGGUAUGAUUUAAGCACAAAUACAUGUACUCUCAGACUGUUCAAAUGAGAAAGGUGGUUUCAG